GGGUGUAGGGAUUAGUUGUGAGGGGAGAAUUAUUGAAUGUCUCUGGGGAGGAAAAGUAGCCCUGUAUACUCUUACCAUCCCAAAAACGCGACCAGAUUAACUAUAAAACCCGAUAAACUACUGUCAAAAGCCGCUCACAUUCCGAAUCCCAGAUUUUAAGAACAGCAGACUUCCGGGGGCUGAACUGUUCUGAAACAGCUUGUUUCUAUCAGUAAGACUGAAACUGAAGAAUUCUGUCAGUCACCAACCCCCACCACCUUGUAAUCCCAAAAGGUUUUCGCACAGAGUUGUGGGAAAUGUAGUCUCCCUCUCUGUGAUGUCAUACACAGCAGCUCCGCCCGCUGCAUUUGCGCGUUCUGUCUGCACAAGUUCGUUUUUCCCCAAAGGUCAGGAGAUAUUUAUAGUUGGUGUGUUCCUGCUGCAUCUCUGGCAUGGAGCCUGGUUCAGGGUGCAGCGCGGCCCUGCAGGUCUGAGAGACCGUGCAGGGCGGCCGGGUGGCUCUGCAGGGAGGGGAAAGAAGCUGACUUGGACCUGCUGUGCUCACCUAGGCUGCAAAGAGGACCCCCCAGAGCGAGCUGACUUUCUGGUCCCUCCGGUAUUUUAUAGUCGACCCAGAACUCUUGGUUUGAGUUGACACAAGUUCCUUACAGACGUAGUUUCCAGGACAGAGAGCUCUGCGAGGCUCCGUACUUCUGAUGGCCUCGGUACUCUUACGUCAAUCAUCAACUAGGAAAAUACCCGCACAGAAUUACAUGAAGGCCAAUCCGAUGAAGGCAUUUUUCUCCACUAAAAUUUCCUCUUCGCAGAUGAACUUUGUAUCAUGUUGGAUAAAUAAAUAAGCCAAUAAGUA
Mesocricetus auratus (golden hamster) is the source of this 850-nucleotide long non-coding RNA. RefSeq lists it as uncharacterized. NCBI's taxonomy places the organism in Eukaryota, Metazoa, Chordata, Mammalia, Rodentia, Cricetidae. The record is from RefSeq and is a predicted model, not a curated record. The transcript has 2 exons.